This 121-nucleotide transfer-messenger RNA is filed under the name Candidatus Delongbacteria bacterium. RNAcentral's name for it is "partial transfer-messenger RNA". It matches the Rfam family "transfer-messenger RNA", at positions 1 to 121 of the family's 374-position model. Rfam says of the family: Bacterial tmRNA, also known as 10Sa RNA or SsrA, is named for its dual tRNA and mRNA-like properties. Its role is to liberate the mRNA from a stalled ribosome. Lineage: Bacteria; Candidatus Delongiibacteriota. The record is from RNAcentral.
GGGGAUGUUUAUGGAUUCGACGGGAUUGGUCGGGUGUCUCGGUUGCAUGUCGAUAAUUUCGGGUAAAUCGUAAAAGAUCCCGGAAACGUACAAUAAAUGCAAAUGAAAAUUACGCACUAGC